UGCGGGGUCGUCUAACGGUAGGACGCGGGACUUUGAAUCCUAAAAUGAAGGUUCGAUUCCUUCCCCCGCAGCCA
Molecule: transfer RNA, 74 nt
Filed under: Candidatus Yanofskybacteria bacterium RIFCSPHIGHO2_01_FULL_41_21
Lineage: Bacteria; Candidatus Yanofskyibacteriota
Description: tRNA-Gln
Rfam family: tRNA
About the family: Transfer RNA (tRNA) molecules are approximately 80 nucleotides in length. Their secondary structure includes four short double-helical elements and three loops (D, anti-codon, and T loops).
Source: RNAcentral